This 254-nucleotide ribosomal RNA is filed under the name Aliidiomarina maris. RNAcentral describes it as "partial 16S ribosomal RNA". It matches the Rfam family "Bacterial small subunit ribosomal RNA", at positions 60 to 309 of the family's 1533-position model. The record is from RNAcentral. Lineage: Bacteria; Pseudomonadati; Pseudomonadota; Gammaproteobacteria; Alteromonadales; Idiomarinaceae.
UGCAGUCGAGCGGUAACAUUUCUAGCUUGCUAGAAGAUGACGAGCGGCGGACGGGUGAGUAAUACUUGGGGAUCUGCCUGAUGGAGGGGGACAACCACUGGAAACGGUGGCUAAUACCGCAUGACGCCUACGGGCCAAAGUGUGGGACCUUCGGGCCACACGCCAUCAGAUGAACCCAAGCGAGAUUAGCUAGUUGGUGAGGUAACGGCUCACCAAGGCGACGAUCUCUAGCUGGUCUGAGAGGAUGAUCAGCC